UGGGGAAUUUUGGACAAUGGGGGAAACCCUGAUCCAGCCAUCCCGCGUGUGCGAUGAAGGCCUUCGGGUUGUAAAGCACUUUUGGCAGGAAAGAAACAUCAUGGGUUAAUACCCCGUGAAACUGACGGUACCUGCAGAAUAAGCACCGGCUAACUACGUGCCAGCAGCCGCGGUAAUACGUAGGGUGCAAGCGUUAAUCGGAAUUACUGGGCGUAAAGCGUGCGCAGGCGGUUCGGAAAGAAAGAUGUGAAAUCCCAGAGCUCAACUUUGGAACUGCAUUUUUAACUACCGGGCUAGAGUGUGUCAGAGGGAGGUGGAAUUCCGCGUGUAGCAGUGACAUGCGUAGAUAUGCGGAGGAACACCGAUGGCGAAGGCAGCCUCCUGGGAUAACACUGACGCUCAUGCACGAAAGCGUGGGGAGCAAACAGG
RNAcentral lists this ribosomal RNA (429 nucleotides) under Acidobacteriota bacterium. RNAcentral describes it as "Acidobacteria bacterium partial 16S ribosomal RNA". It matches the Rfam family "Bacterial small subunit ribosomal RNA", at positions 355 to 776 of the family's 1533-position model. Lineage: Bacteria; Pseudomonadati; Acidobacteriota. The record is from RNAcentral.